Molecule: ribosomal RNA, 344 nt
Filed under: uncultured Anaerolineaceae bacterium
Lineage: Bacteria; Bacillati; Chloroflexota; Anaerolineae; Anaerolineales; Anaerolineaceae
Description: bacterial SSU rRNA
Rfam family: Bacterial small subunit ribosomal RNA
Source: RNAcentral
CGGGAGCUAUACAGGUGUUGCAUGGCUGUCGUCAGCUCGUGUCGUGAGAUGUUCGGUUAAGUCCGCUAACGAGCGCAACCCUCGUCGUAUGUUAUAUGUGUCAUACGAGACUGCCGGUAAAAGACCGGAGGAAGGUGAGGAUGAUGUCAAGUCAGCAUGACCUUUAUAUCCAGGGCUACACACACGCUACAAUGGUCUGUACAAUGGGUAGCCAAGCCGCGAGGCGGAGCCAAUCCUGAAAGCAGGCCUCAGUUCAGAUUGCAGUCUGCAACUCGACUGCAUGAAGCCGGAGUUGCUAGUAACCGCAGGUCAGCAAUACUGCGGUGAAUACGUUCCCGGGUCUU